RNAcentral lists this long non-coding RNA (458 nucleotides) under Mytilus galloprovincialis (Mediterranean mussel). Lineage: Eukaryota; Metazoa; Mollusca; Bivalvia; Mytilida; Mytilidae. The record is from RNAcentral.
AACUGAAAGCACAUAUUUAUUUUUAUUUGGCACAAGAGGAAAAAAAUAAUUCUGUAACUAUAAAUGAAUAAAGAAAACAUAAACUGAAACAAAUGUUUUUGUUGUUAUAGUUUAAUUGUAUUCUCAGUUAUGAAUUGAACAAUAUAAACUAAAACAUAUAAAGGAAAUAGAGCAUCAACGCAACGCGACAAAUGACAUUAAAAAAAAUAGUUAAUUUUUUUUACGCAAAAUGUGAUGCUAUCCAAAAUUUCUGGGGAGAACACUGAAGGGGGAGGGUUUUUUUUACAUGUCGUGCUGUAUCUCAAAAACGAUUUAUGAUUAUUGCUUAAAACUUUACACACUUCUUUGUUAUAUUAAACUAAAGAUCUGUAUACUUUUUGGUUAUGACUCAAAAUUUUAUUUUUGAGUUAUUGAGUAUUUUGUAAAAAAGGGGAGGGUUUAUUUUUACAUGUCGCGCC